GAUGAAGAACGUAGCGAAAUGCGAUACGUAAUGUGAAUUGCAGAAUUCAGUGAAUCAUCGAAUCUUUGAACGCACAUUGCGCACGCCAGCACUCUGGCGGGCAUGCCUGUUCGAGCGUCAUUUCAACCAUCAAGCCCCAGGCUUGCGUUGGAGCCCUGCGGCUGCCGCAGCCUCCUAAAAGCAGUGGCGGGCUCGCUAUCACACCGAGUGCAGUAGAUUACUCUUCGCUCAGGGCGUGCAGCGGGUUCCGGCCGUGAAACCCCCUACUUUUAAAGGUUGACCUCGGAUCAGGUAGGAAUACCCGCUGAACUUAAGCAUAUCAAUAAGCGGAGGA
Molecule: unclassified non-coding RNA, 334 nt
Filed under: soil metagenome
Description: partial contains 5.8S ribosomal RNA, internal transcribed spacer 2, and large subunit ribosomal RNA
Rfam family: 5.8S ribosomal RNA (bases 1-120)
Source: RNAcentral